GUUUGAUCAUGGCUCAGAUUGAACGCUGGCGGCAGGCCUAACACAUGCAAGUCGAACGGUAACAGGAAGCAGCUUGCUGCUUCGCUGACGAGUGGCGGACGGGUGAGUAAUGUCUGGGAAGCUGCCUGAUGGAGGGGGAUAACUACUGGAAACGGUAGCUAAUACCGCAUAAUGUCGCAAGACCAAAGAGGGGGACCUUCGGGCCUCUUGCCAUCGGAUGUGCCCAGAUGGGAUUAGCUUGUUGGUGGGGUAACGGCUCACCAAGGCGACGAUCCCUAGCUGGUUUGAGAGGAUGACCAGCCACACUGGAACUGAGACACGGUCCAGACUCCUACGGGAGGCAGCAGUGGGGAAUAUUGCACAAUGGGCGCAAGCCUGAUGCAGCCAUGCCGCGUGUAUGAAGAAGGCCUUCGGGUUGUAAAGUACUUUCAGCGGGGAGGAAGGGAGUAAAGUUAAUACCUUUGCUCAUUGACGUUACCCGCAGAAGAAGCACCGGCUAACUCCGUGCCAGCAGCCGCGGUAAUACGGAGGGUGCAAGCGUUAAUCGGAAUUACUGGGCGUAAAGCGCACGCAGGCGGUUUGUUAAGUCAGAUGUGAAAUCCCCGGGCUCAACCUGGGAACUGCAUCUGAUACUGGCAAGCUUGAGUCUCGUAGAGGGGGGUAGAAUUCCAGGUGUAGCGGUGAAAUGCGUAGAGAUCUGGAGGAAUACCGGUGGCGAAGGCGGCCCCCUGGACGAAGAUUGACGCUCAGGUGCGAAAGCGUGGGGAGCAAACAGGAUUAGAUACCCUGGUAGUCCACGCCGUAAACGAUGUCGACUUGGAGGUUGUGCCCUUGAGGCGUGGCUUCCGGAGCUAACGCGUUAAGUCGACCGCCUGGGGAGUACGGCCGCAAGGUUAAAACUCAAAUGAAUUGACGGGGGCCCGCACAAGCGGUGGAGCAUGUGGUUUAAUUCGAUGCAACGCGAAGAACCUUACCUGGUCUUGACAUCCACGGAAGUUUUCAGAGAUGAGAAUGUGCCUUCGGGAACCGUGAGACAGGUGCUGCAUGGCUGUCGUCAGCUCGUGUUGUGAAAUGUUGGGUUAAGUCCCGCAACGAGCGCAACCCUUAUCCUUUGUUGCCAGCGGUCCGGCCGGGAACUCAAAGGAGACUGCCAGUGAUAAACUGGAGGAAGGUGGGGAUGACGUCAAGUCAUCAUGGCCCUUACGACCAGGGCUACACACGUGCUACAAUGGCGCAUACAAAGAGAAGCGACCUCGCGAGAGCAAGCGGACCUCAUAAAGUGCGUCGUAGUCCGGAUUGGAGUCUGCAACUCGACUCCAUGAAGUCGGAAUCGCUAGUAAUCGUGGAUCAGAAUGCCACGGUGAAUACGUUCCCGGGCCUUGUACACACCGCCCGUCACACCAUGGGAGUGGGUUGCAAAAGAAGUAGGUAGCUUAACCUUCGGGAGGGCGCUUACCACUUUGUGAUUCAUGACUGGGGUGAAGUCGUAACAAGGUAACCGUAGGGGAACCUGCGGUUG
RNAcentral lists this ribosomal RNA (1519 nucleotides) under metagenome. RNAcentral describes it as "bacterial SSU rRNA". It matches the Rfam family "Bacterial small subunit ribosomal RNA". The record is from RNAcentral.